RNAcentral lists this ribosomal RNA (253 nucleotides) under uncultured bacterium. RNAcentral's name for it is "partial 16S ribosomal RNA". It matches the Rfam family "Bacterial small subunit ribosomal RNA", at positions 524 to 776 of the family's 1533-position model. The record is from RNAcentral.
UACGUAGGUGGCAAGCGUUGUCCGGAUUUACUGGGUGUAAAGGGCGUGUAGGCGGGGAUGCAAGUCAGAUGUGAAAUUCCGGGGCUUAACUCCGGGGCUGCAUCUGAAACUAUGUCUCUUGAGUGCUGGAGAGGAAAGCGGAAUUCCUAGUGUAGCGGUGAAAUGCGUAGAUAUUAGGAGGAACACCAGUGGCGAAGGCGGCUUUCUGGACAGUAACUGACGCUGAGGCGCGAAAGCGUGGGGAGCAAACAGG